Long non-coding RNA from Solanum dulcamara, 426 nucleotides. RefSeq lists it as uncharacterized. NCBI's taxonomy places the organism in Eukaryota, Viridiplantae, Streptophyta, Magnoliopsida, Solanales, Solanaceae. The record is from RefSeq and is a predicted model, not a curated record. The transcript is spliced from 3 exons.
GUUGCCCUAAUUACUUAAAAGAAAACAAACAAAGAAAGAUAGAAACUUACCUGCGGCGUUGAGACGAGAGCACGGUGUGUGAGGGUGGAAACGUUUUGAGACAUUGACGAAAGAAAAGACAUUGGUGGAUUAGUUUGCUUGAUUGCGGUUCUUCGGUUGAGCGAGUGUUCCACAGACUUCGACUCGACCUCAGCUCUAGUCAGUCUCAAGAUCAUCGGAUUUCAGGGUGAGCUAUCCUUCUAGCUGCGUGAUGGAUUUUCUCGGUUAUGGCAUAGUGUCUUUAGUUUUCAGACACAUUUAUUUAAUUGUUCAUUUUGGUGCUUAAUGUUCCAGACUUAGUUUUAGAAAUUAGAUGUCCUUAAUGUGAUGACUUUCAGAUUUUGGGGAAAAAUAUAUUUAUUUGAGUUUCCGCGUUAUUGUUAUUAG